This 331-nucleotide long non-coding RNA is filed under the name Rhinopithecus bieti (black snub-nosed monkey). RNAcentral describes it as "lncRNA (ENSRBIG00000045534.1)". The record is from RNAcentral. Lineage: Eukaryota; Metazoa; Chordata; Mammalia; Primates; Cercopithecidae.
CAUGGAGCAGCGGGCAGGGACUACAGAAGCAAGAGGAAACCUCCAUGGAGGCAGGUCAAGAAGUCGCAAGCAAAGGGAGACCAGGACCCCUGCUGUAUUCCAGCUCCACCCCAGUGCCAAGCUCAUUCCAGGAGCUGAGUAACCACCUGUUGAUUGAUUAUUACACUGACAAGAGCCCUGAAAGAGCAUGAACAAACAGAACCUGCAUAGUGCCUGGCACUGAAUAGGUACACAAACUGCCUCUCAAAUUUGGCCAUUGAAUUUAUGCCCAAGUUGCAGAUUUGUGAACAAAGUAAGUGUUGUUGUUUUAAGUCACUAAAUUUGGGGGUUA